GACGAACGCUGGCGGCGUGCUUAACACAUGCAAGUCGAACGGAAAGGCCCUGCUUUUGUGGGGUGCUCGAGUGGCGAACGGGUGAGUAACACGUGAGUAACCUGCCCUUGACUUUGGGGUAACUUCAGGAAACUGGGGCUAAUACCGGAUAGGAGCUCCUGCUGCAUGGUGGGGGUUGGAAAGUUUCGGCGGUUGGGGAUGGACUCGCGGCUUAUCAGCUUGUUGGUGAGGUAGUGGCUUACCAAGGCUUUGACGGGUAGCCGGCCUGAGAGGGUGACCGGCCACAUUGGGACUGAGAUACGGCCCAGACUCGUACGGGAGGCAGCAGUGGGGAAUAUUGCACAAUGGGCGGAAGCCUGAUGCAGCAACGCCGCGUGCGGGAUGACGGCCUUCGGGUUGUAAACCGCUUUCGCCUGUGACGAAGCGUGAGUGACGGUAAUGGGUAAAGAAGCACCGGCUAACUACGUG
Molecule: ribosomal RNA, 468 nt
Filed under: uncultured bacterium
Lineage: Bacteria
Description: partial 16S ribosomal RNA
Rfam family: Bacterial small subunit ribosomal RNA
Source: RNAcentral